RNAcentral lists this transfer RNA (65 nucleotides) under Dipodomys ordii (Ord's kangaroo rat). It matches the Rfam family "tRNA". Rfam says of the family: Transfer RNA (tRNA) molecules are approximately 80 nucleotides in length. The record is from Rfam by way of RNAcentral. Lineage: Eukaryota; Metazoa; Chordata; Mammalia; Rodentia; Heteromyidae.
GGUGACUCAGUGGUAGAGUGCUUGCCUUGCAUGUAUGAGGCCCUGGGUUCAAUACCACAGCACCA